RNAcentral lists this ribosomal RNA (253 nucleotides) under uncultured bacterium. Its description in RNAcentral is "partial 16S ribosomal RNA". It matches the Rfam family "Bacterial small subunit ribosomal RNA", at positions 524 to 776 of the family's 1533-position model. The record is from RNAcentral.
UACGUAGGGCGCAAGCGUUGUCCGGAAUUAUUGGGCGUAAAGAGCUCGUAGGCGGUCUGUCGCGUCUGCCGUGAAAACCCGAGGCUUAACCUCGGGCUGGCGGUGGAUACGGGCAGACUAGAGGUAGGUAGGGGAGAAUGGAAUUCCCGGUGUAGCGGUGAAAUGCACAGAUAUCGGGAGGAACACCGGUGGCGAAGGCGGUUCUCUGGGCCUUACCUGACGCUGAGGAGCGAAAGCGUGGGGAGCGAACAGG